RNAcentral lists this ribosomal RNA (465 nucleotides) under Chryseobacterium pennae. RNAcentral describes it as "bacterial SSU rRNA". It matches the Rfam family "Bacterial small subunit ribosomal RNA", at positions 338 to 795 of the family's 1533-position model. The record is from RNAcentral. Lineage: Bacteria; Pseudomonadati; Bacteroidota; Flavobacteriia; Flavobacteriales; Weeksellaceae.
CCUACGGGAGGCAGCAGUGGGGAAUAUUGGACAAUGGGCGAAAGCCUGAUCCAGCCAUGCCGCGUGUGUGAAGAAGGUCUUCGGAUUGUAAAGCACUUUAAGUUGGGAGGAAGGGCAUUAACCUAAUACGUUAGUGUUUUGACGUUACCGACAGAAUAAGCACCGGCUAACUUCGUGCCAGCAGCCGCGGUAAUACGAAGGGUGCAAGCGUUAAUCGGAAUUACUGGGCGUAAAGCGCGCGUAGGUGGUUUGUUAAGUUGAAUGUGAAAGCCCCGGGCUCAACCUGGGAACUGCAUCCAAAACUGGCAAGCUAGAGUAUGGCAGAGGGUGGUGGAAUUUCCUGUGUAGCGGUGAAAUGCGUAGAUAUAGGAAGGAACACCAGUGGCGAAGGCGACCACCUGGGCUAAUACUGACACUGAGGUGCGAAAGCGUGGGGAGCAAACAGGAUUAGAUACCCCGGUAGUC